UUUCCUCGUUCAAAAACACAUAAUCAGUAGGCCUAUCACACUAACAAUGUGUUGCUUCAUCUCCUUAUUUGAAGGAUAUAGCCGAGCUCAAAUCAUUCUCAGUUAAGCCUACAUAGACCUAGGCUUAGGCCACCCAUCGAAUUUCUUUAAUAACAAAACAAUUACAGCCUGAUAACUAUAAAGCAAUAUCUUGUCACUGAUCAACAAUUUAACAUUUUUAAACGUUUCUAUUUGGUUGCAGCGAUAUCGAGUUCGUCUUCACAUGCUAUGAUAUUUUAUGUCGAAGUGGAAAAUCUUUAAAACAUUUUUUUUUUUUUACAAUUGCAGUAUAACCUUAGAUAUGCUUACAUUUACAGGAUAACUUGGAAAUGGAGACGAACCAACCCAACCAUGCUUACCGAUGUGUCAACUAUUAGGCUAUGUCGUCUCGAUUUUAAAUAGUUAAUUUUGUACUAACAGACAAUUCAGGGUGUACGCCUAUGCAGGAAAAAUACAUAAUGUAACGUUGCUGUGUUAAUAUCAGGCUUCUUUCAAAAAGAGAUAGUUGCACUCUAUGCCCAGCAAGAACACAGCGGAGGGCCAACGAGCCAUGGAAGGACGGAAAGAAUGGGGUGUUAUAUUUCCCUCAAAUGCAGCAAGCUUUAAUAGUUCUAAAGAGAAGUCCACCGAUAUCUCUUUUCCAAACUUGUUUCCGAUGGUCUUUACGGUCUUUACCGGAGCAGUGCUAAUUCGAAAGGUUUUCUUUGACUUAAUUUAACCGUUAAUUAGAAACAGAACACCUGACAUCAUAAAUCAUCGAAUCUUAGGGGAGUUGCGUUUUAUAUUAGGCAUAGCUCGAUCUCGUCACUCCCCUUCCCCGGAGCCGGUCCCCUAUACGUCACAUAUUGCUGCUCAUGGCCACUCAAUUUUCCUUGUAGGGCCUACAGUGAAGAUUUGUUGGGGCUGGCUAUUGGAAAGCCGUAUUCAGACUAUCAAAAUAUCAUCGCCAACUGGUCUUUGGAAUAACUGCGGACAUAAACAGUUGGUUUUGAAUGUUGAUUUUCUGAUUCGUUAGGCUCCACUGUAGUUUUUUUUUGUGAUGCUUUGCAGAUGUUCGAGAAAAUAAAGUACCCUGACCUGGUACUUCAAUAAACUUAAACUGGAGAAACACGGGCCUUGUUCCAACAAAUCGUAAAAUAAGCAUAAAUUAUGCAGGUGAAUUGAUUUGUCCAUUUACAUUUUUCUCUCUGUUAGUCUCUGUCCAUGCUUUCAAACAAACUAUUUGAGAUGUAUAUCUCAUCACCAAUAUCAUUUGGCUUUACAAUAUAGUGAAACUUGGGUCGCCCAAUGCAAUACAACUGUUGAGUGACAAAUUUGGAUGUCAUUCAGGUAGCUAGGCGUAUUAUAUUUAUUCGUCACUCUUUCCAUGUUCUUUACUGAAUCCUGUUGCAAAACAAAACAGCUGUACUAACAACGUAAAUAUAACAUGAUACAGGAACACACACUUAACGUGGGCGCAAUAUAGAAGGUUACACGUAUGAGUGAUACAUGCUUACAGGGAAAGAGAGAUGGCUUGCUGAGUUGGCAUCAGAAAACAAUGAAGCAAUAAUAAAGACGAAAUAUUUAUUUAACUAGGCAAGUCGGUUAAGAACAAAUUCUUAUUUUCAAUGACGGCCUAGGAACAGUGGGUUAACUGCCUGUAAUGGUCAGGAUAUUGUGGGAUUUCAUCUCCCCAUCCAAUCAUUAUUUUAUAAGCAUAACAAUAAAUUACCAAUAUUGUAAACUGUAAAUAAAUAAUAUUAAUGUACUAUUGUCAACAUGAAAAAUAAUGGUAGGCCUACUACUAAUAGUUCAGUCAUUCACAACGUUCGGUCACUACUGGAAUCACGAUUACGACAUUCCUUGACAAACCUGAGAAGAGAGGAAAUUGCAUAACUGUAGCCGAUUUCCCUCAAAAUGGUAGUACGCAAUGUAAUCUAUCAUUAUUGACUUCCCCUAUUUUCUCUCCACUGCCAGAAAUAGGUUACACAAGCUUUAUUGAACGAAGCGAUCAUUUCAAGCACCACUGCCUUUUCAAGAAAACAAUGCAGUCAAUCGUCUGGGUAAAUGUAGCCUAAGCUUUGAGUUGCUCGUGUGUUCUAACAAUAAUCAAGGGUAAGCCUAGUACACAACGCAUCAUAAUCGUACUUCAUCACCUCUGAAUAGGAGAGAAAGUGAGUGAGCACUUAAAUAAUCCCCUGCGGUGUGCGUGUUUGUGAAAACUGGGAGUGAGAAAGGGGCUUGUGCGCGCGCGCGUACAUGACAGGUUAUGUGCAUGCGCAAUCUUGGAGAUAAGACAUUCUUCGUCUAUUCUCACUGUAAGCGUGUUUGAGUGAGUGGGUUUGAGGCAUAUAGGGAUGGAGAGAAGACCAGUAACGCCGGGUUCAAUCCCCUCUCGCAAGCAUCACUAACAUAACAGCAAUCGUAGCCUAGCCUACACGUCGGCCUUAAAGUGCUAAGGCUUUUACAUCCCGCAUUGCAUUAGACAGUGUAAUAUUCCACCGUGUUUAGUACCUGUUUUUUUUUUUCUCCCGUCCGCCACUGGGUUGACAAAUGUUUAGAUUCCCAACAGGGUACCGCGGAGCCCCAAACGCGCAGGGCCAAACGGCUUCGCACUCUGUCACCUCUGCACAGUUCAUUUUCUCUUGCAGGUCAGAGCUUGAAACCCCCCCGGGAGCGGUGUUGUUCGACAUCUAAUGCUCCAUUGGGGUCCAUUUUAAGAUCAUAAAGAGGGACGGAGGCGGCCAAGUGCCCGGUCAGAAGGGCUAAACGAGGAUUACAGCGCACUAGCACAUGUUUCUGCAUCGUGGGCAAUAAUAGGCUUCAUUAGCCUGUAAUUAUCAGAAACAAUACAUACAGACACACACACGAUGGAUGUUUGCCUGUGAACAUGGCAUCAGUAGACCCAUACAGACAAAGAGAAGUGGGACAGAUCAAAGGGAGGAACCACACUGUCGCCCCCUCCCAAACGGAUGCCGACUGAUGAGAAAAUAUGCGGCGGUUGAGCCAAAGCCCCUUUAUUAUUGGUUAAAUGUGGGGUGAACAACCAUAGUCUGAUUCCAUUUUCAAGGUUUUGCUUUCUCAUGUACAAUAUUGCUCUUGGAAAGCAAUAUCAACGGUGUAUAUGCUGUAUGGAUAAUGUACACAACUAAUUCUGCAUGUUGUCCGUAAUGAUCAUUUCCAAUUGGCCAAUAAAUAAAAACAUUGAUAUACUGAACUAGGUUCAAUGAAAAAACUCUUAUAACAGAGGGAUCUUUGGAGUUCAUCAUUAGUUAUUAUAUUCACUGGCGAUUAAAGCUGUGUAUCAAUGUCAUUCACAAAUUGGAUGUUAUUAACCCCAUGUUGACUGCCCUGAUUGUCAGUUGCUCUGGAUAAGAGGGACUUAAAUGUAAAAUGGAAACAUAUUAAAGAUGAAGCAGAUGUG
Oncorhynchus tshawytscha (Chinook salmon) is the source of this 3442-nucleotide long non-coding RNA. RefSeq lists it as uncharacterized. The record is from RefSeq and is a predicted model, not a curated record. The transcript is spliced from 2 exons. Lineage: Eukaryota; Metazoa; Chordata; Actinopteri; Salmoniformes; Salmonidae.